AUGGGUUUUUUCCCAUCUUAGCAAGAUUCUGUUCCAUUCCAGAUGUUCCCUGUUGACAUUUUGGUGCCAAAGCAAAGUAUGGACUCCCUUGAAACAGAGCCUGGUUCCCCGGAAAGUGUUGUGUUUGAUAGAAAGUCUUUUCUCAAAACACAUCGCUCCCAUAAGGAGUUUUUGAGACGAAGUGCGAGAUUAGCGGAGAGAGAGGAUUUUAAUUAACCCGUUUCCCUUGGGAAGCAUCAGGGAGGCAAGCAUGUUGACACAGCUACUUUCUCUGGGAACAAUAGGGGAGUUAAACACCUGUUGGGGGGAACUCUUGAAUUUCCAUAAAAGUUCUGCACUGAGCUCUCCCUAUCACGGUAUCAACGUGACUAAUCCAAGAAGAACAUCGUCUCUUAUACCUGAGCUCCUAAGCGGCCUUUUGGUGCGCUUACUCACGAGUAGACCGGGAGUUGCGUUUUCAUUCCUGUUCAAGUUUGGACUGCAUUUCAGAUCCACCACGAAUUACUUUGCCUAGCCUCGAAUCCUUGUCUGGAUUUAACUUCAAGAAUCUCCCGGUGAAUCCUUGCUCUUUCCCCACUCAAACUUCCAAUGAGUUUGAGUGUGUUUCGGUUAUUGGAUUGUAGACUUUGGACUCUAAUACUGGACAUAUAACUUCAUUUAUUUGGACUAUUUUUGAUCUUUCCUAUAAGGACAAUUGCUUGACUAUAUACUCUGCAUACUUUUGUUUUAUUCUUUUAUUGCAUUAAUAAAGAUAUUAGAUUGUUUAUUGGCCUCCAUGUUGGUUUCCAGUGCUCACGCAGCUUAGAGGCGUUACAGUAAUGCCCCACAUCAGGUUUGUAGCAGUAGCAAAAAGCAUUCAAUUAAGGAGAAACUGUCAGGCCUUCUAUGCGCCCAAAUGAGCACACAAGUGCUAUGAAGAUGAUGGUAAUUAUCCUAAUGAAUCUGAACGAGGCUGCCGAGGUUAAAACACUGGCGUGUCUUCUGCAUCCUGCCACCACAAAGACUAUCCAUUUGUGUUUACCUGGAUUGGACAUUAAAUCAAUCGUGGGACUAUUUGCAUUUGGCAUCAUCAUAUUCCUGGCUUCGUGCCCUUCAUGGGGGCGGACAUUUAAAUGACUUGGACUUUAAACUAUCCAACUGCAACUGUUCCUUUUUCCUACUACGGUCGAACUCCUACAGCAAGUGACAUCAAGAGGAAUCCCCAGCCAAUAGGAGCCCAGAUCCAAACUGGGCUGGCUUUUUAGCCACGCAGGGGAGGGCACGUAUAUUUUGAAUAGCUGUCAAAGUUGAUAAAAUGCUUUGUAUUUC
This is a long non-coding RNA of Anolis carolinensis (green anole), 1308 nucleotides long. RefSeq lists it as uncharacterized. The record is from RefSeq and is a predicted model, not a curated record. The transcript has 3 exons. Lineage: Eukaryota; Metazoa; Chordata; Lepidosauria; Squamata; Anolidae.